CCUAUCAAAGGGAGUGAGAGUAUAAGAGAGAGAGUGUGUGCUCGUGUGAGAGUACUGUGGAUGAGUGAGUGAAAAUGUGUGUAUAUUUAUGUCAUAUUUCCGUGAUUAAAAAAAGUUAGUUGUCCGAACUGAAAUUUACUAGAUUAGUGUUCGGGAGAGCUCCUGCGAUUGGUAUUGGAGUACCUACAAUUUCAUCUACCUGUCUAAAAAAUCUCUCUUUCUUCUUUCGUGUUCUCCCUUUGGCCAUAUCUCAUUCUUCUUCCGUGAUCUAUGGUGUAGCGACGAAUGGAACAGAUCCUUGCAGGAAACGGGAAAUGGUGAUGAAGCCGAAUUUUAAGGGGAGAGAGGAUCCGUUUCUGUUCUUGUCCUAUUGUGUUUUGGGUGAUGAGGUGGAAGAGAAGAGGAAAAGCUUUAUUGGGAUGCAUUAGAGAGGAAGAGGAGGAGGAGAGUGAAAAGCAUUACAAUCGAUAUAUAUCUCUCUCACUCUGACUCAGCCUCUCUCUCCGUGUCUGUACGUUUUUGGCAUCAUGCUUUCCAUUUCCUUCUGUGUGGUGACUGGUGAGGUCUCCUCUCUGAUUCAUGCAAGAUGGACGGGAGUUGCCUUCAUCUUCUUCCUCACGGCACAAUUGGAUGAUUGGGCAGGGAAAUUUUCCGAUUGGGCAAGGCAUGCGUCUUGAAGAAGGAACGACAUUAACAAUAUGUCAUAUUAAUGAGGACCCGCCGGGCGUACCGUGCACGAUAGUGCAUGUAAGGGGAGGAAUCCGAAGAGUUUUUGCAAUAGGAUGGGAUCAACCCUUCAAAUUCUUAGGCUAUGUAAGGGAGGGCAAGACAUACUUAACCACCCGCACUAAUCUUUGGAGGUUCUUAUGUAAAGAGACAAGGAUGUAUUGUCUCCUAAUCAAUGUACUUCCUCGUAAUUCUUGUGACAGCUCCACCCCGCAUACACAAAAUUUAGCAACCCAACCCCUUUGGCAACUAUGAUAUACCAGUCAAACCAGCACUGAACAAAUGAAUUAAACAUGUGAUCGUAUCUCUGUCUCCAAAUGUAGACACGGUGAGCUAGGAAAAAUUUCCCACAUCUUUUAUUAACAUGUAUAAUUGCGUUUUGUGUGUGGCCCUUCUCAUGUCUAGCCUUCAAGAUGCAUCAUUGGGUCAGGAAUAUUUUUUGAGAAAUAUAAUUUAGAAAAUGGUUGUAGGAGUCAGAUAGAAAGUCUGCGUUGCAUAUUGGCGUCUUUCAUAAUUUGGUAUAUGUUUGAAGAUCGUAAUGACAUUGUCUUCUGGAAAGAGCUUUGGGCUUCGCAAACAUAAGAUAACAAGGAGCUGCAGUGGCCAAGGAGCUCGAGGAUACAAAGUGUCAUUGUAAAUGGAUAUUUCUUGUGAGAAAAAUGUAAACAUAAUUUUGAUGCGCUUGCAUAGUUCGCCAGAAAGAGGCUAAUUACUAAUCACAGUACGUGGUCAGUUAGCUUUUUUUUUCCUAACCCGGGGUGUUCAAGCUUCACCCGACUAAUCCCUGGGGCUCUGUGAACCCCCGGCGGCGCACGGAGCGGACAAUCACGCCAAAUGCGCUCUGGUGGCUCCAAGGGGAUUGGAACCUGGGAUCGAGUGCAAACUUAAGCGCACCUUAACUAUUAGGCCAAAUCCCUUGGGGUUUGGUCAGUUAGCUAUUAACAUAACUGACAUUGUUGAGGCAAAGUAAUCUGAAAAGUCCGAACAUUUGAAAACUUGGAGUGACAUUAUAUAUAAUGGGAUUGGGGAAAAAAAAAGUACACGUAUGACGGAGACAGAUAGGCUA
Molecule: non-coding RNA, 1792 nt
Organism: Punica granatum (pomegranate)
Lineage: Eukaryota; Viridiplantae; Streptophyta; Magnoliopsida; Myrtales; Lythraceae
Source: RefSeq, a predicted model, not a curated record